UUUAGCAGCCAGUGUGAGUGCGUGAUAGCGUCCAAUUAUGGAAGCUAAGCAGGGCCAUGCUAGGCUAGUACUUGGAUGGGAGACCAACAUGGAAGACCAGGGGCUGCUAGCC
This 112-nucleotide ribosomal RNA is filed under the name Mastacembelus armatus (zig-zag eel). The record is from RNAcentral. Lineage: Eukaryota; Metazoa; Chordata; Actinopteri; Synbranchiformes; Mastacembelidae.